AACGAACGCUGGCGGCAGGCUUAACACAUGCAAGUCGAACGCCCCGCCAGGGGAGUGGCAGACGGGUGAGUAACGCGUGGGAACAUACCCUUUUCUACGGAAUAGCUCUGGGAAACUGGAAUUAAUACCGUAUACGCCCUACGGGGGAAAGAUUUAUCGGGGAAGGAUUGGCCCGCGUUGGAUUAGCUAGUUGGUGGGGUAAAGGCCUACCAAGGCGACGAUCCAUAGCUGGUCUGAGAGGAUGAUCGGCCACAUUGGGACUGAGACACGGCCCAAACUCCUACGGGAGGCAGCAGUGGGGAAUAUUGGACAAUGGGCGCAAGCCUGAUCCAGCCAUGCCGCGUGAGUGAUGAAGGCCUUAGGGUUAUAAAGCUCUUUCACCGAUGAAGAUAAUGACGGUAGUCGGAGAAGAAGCCCCGGCUAACUUCGUG
This 431-nucleotide ribosomal RNA is filed under the name uncultured bacterium. RNAcentral's name for it is "partial 16S ribosomal RNA". It matches the Rfam family "Bacterial small subunit ribosomal RNA", at positions 29 to 507 of the family's 1533-position model. The record is from RNAcentral.